AUUGAACGCUGGCGGCAGGCUUAACACAUGCAAGUCGAGCGGGGUGAUGGUGCUUGCACUAUCACUUAGCGGCGGACGGGUGAGUAAUGCUUAGGAAUCUGCCUAUUAGUGGGGGACAGCAUCUCGAAAGGGAUGCUAAUACCGCAUGCGUCCUACGGGAGAAAGCAGGGGAUCACUUGUGACCUUGCGCUAAUAGAUGAGCCUAAGUCGGAUUAGCUAGUUGGUGGGGUAAAGGCCUACCAAGGCGACGAUCUGUAGCGGGUCUGAGAGGAUGAGCCGCCACACUGGGACUGAGACACGGCCCAGACUCCUACGGGAGGCAGCAGUGGGGAAUAUUGGACAAUGGGGGGAACCCUGAUCCAGCCAUGCCGCGUGUGUGAAGAAGGCCUUAUGGUUGUAAAGCACUUUAAGCGAGGAGGAGGCUCUUUUGGUUAAUACCCAAGAUGAGUGGACGUUACUCGCAGAAUAAGCACCGGCUAACUCUGUGCCAGCCGCCGCAGUAA
Molecule: ribosomal RNA, 503 nt
Filed under: uncultured bacterium
Lineage: Bacteria
Description: partial 16S ribosomal RNA
Rfam family: Bacterial small subunit ribosomal RNA
Source: RNAcentral